Molecule: long non-coding RNA, 1843 nt
Organism: Epinephelus moara (kelp grouper)
Lineage: Eukaryota; Metazoa; Chordata; Actinopteri; Perciformes; Serranidae
Exons: 4
Source: RefSeq, a predicted model, not a curated record
UCUACACGGGGCAUGAGAUAUGCCCAUUCAAAGUCUGCAAUUUCAAUCGGUUGCUAUAGUGCCCCCCUUUGGCCAAUUGAAUAUUGCUUCAUUUGUAUCCUCCCAUGACCCUCUACCACUGUGCCAAAUUUCACAUGGAUUGACCAAGUCAGUGAGGAACUCACAGAGUUUUCGUCAUUAUACACGGCGUUGGCCGUGCCUGUUGUGUGCAGCUUCUGAGGGGACUUUGAAAAGCGUGGUGUCUGCUCUUCCUCACUGCGAGACGGUGACUGGGUUUGAGCUGUGCGUUAAGCUCCCUUCGCUCCGGUAAGCUCGCUCUGUUUUUUUAUUUCUACUUCUGCUAGUUCUGUUAACUUUAUGUUAACAGGUUGUCCUGCUCUCUGUCCUGCUGUAGCUGAGGCCACAGCUUGUGGCUUCUUCUCCUCCUCUGUGCUCUGUGUGGGGCUGCACUCCGUAGCCUGGUGACGUGGGCCGCCAGCUGGGCAUCCUGAAGGCCUCCAGCCCUGGUGCGGCUGCUCCGUUUUCCACAGACUGAUUAAAGCACACUGUAACGCGGCUGUGCAUUGAUGCGGCUUUGGACCUCCAUCCCACCACGACUUCAUUUUGGACAGGAGCUUUUGCAAACAGCGGCAGUCUUCCCCGGUGGUGGUGUCCCCCCUCACUCCCUUUAAUUUGGCGUGGCACGUGGUGGUUUGGUUUGCAUGGAAACAUCUGUCCAUCUGACAAUGACGGCCCAGGUACUGCACAGGCAUAUACAAAUAAAUUACAUCGUUGGGUUUUCUUCCAUAACAUGGUUAUUCCAUAUUUUCUAUUCUUAGAAAAAACACAUUUUAUGAAUUACACUUGAUUUUGAUCUAGGUUACAUCCUCCCCCCUUAAAUCCAUGUACGGCCCUGAGCAUGUAAAAUGAUUACACUGUGUAGAUCUCUGGAGCAGAGAAGGGCUUAAGGCAUCCGUAUAAGCAGACGAAAGGCUUCGGUAAAGAGUUUACCUAGUUUACCUACCUAGAUUACCUAAUUGAGCAUACUAUAACCUAUUUGGAUGUUCUUGGGAUCGUUGAGAGCGUCAAAGGAAGUGGCAACUUCAACUGGGUCAGUCUCAGGAUUAGCAGCAGCAGCCUUGGGAUGAAGUUCGUCUGCAAUGGGUCGUUCAGGAUCCUCAACUACUCCAUCAGGUGAGUCUCCUUCUGGUAGGGUAUUGUUAGGUAGAUUUUCCUCCACAGGUCCAGGUAAGUUUUCCAAUAGUUCCUCAGUAACCAGGUUUUCCUCCGCAGGCCCAGUUAAGUCUGACUUGUUCCUGUCCGGUGAUUCAGGUGAGUUUCUUUUAUCCAAGGGUUCAGUGGGGGAUUCAGCAGAGAGGAAAAGUUGAGGCGUUUUUGCCAGGGAACGGGUGAUAGAUUUCCAGCUUUGCUGUCACCAUCCACAUUAGAUUUAACCAGUGGAACUGGACAUUGUGGAAUCCAAUCAAAGUCAUCAUCAUCUUCUUCCUCAUCAUCAUUCAGAUCAGCAGAGCUGGCUUCACUGAUAUGGUAUUGACGUGUUCGGGGUCUACGGGCAGGGGGAGUCUCCUCCUGUACUGACGGAGGAAGGAACCCACAGGGAUGAAGAAGGUCUUGAUGUAAGGUGGGCUGGGGACCAUCUUUAGUUUCUGGCUUCACCGUAUAGACUGAGAGAUCACCUGCCUGCUUAAUGACAACGAAGUGUUUUUAUGGUGGAUUUAUUUGAUUUGAUUUUCCUUGUUUUUAGAUUUUUAAUAUAAAUGUCAUGAUAAUCUGUUUCCUAUGUUAGGCUCUUUUGUUUCAUUUUUAUGAAUGUAUUGUGUUAGAUAAUUUAUCAUUAUUAUUG